RNAcentral lists this long non-coding RNA (988 nucleotides) under Olea europaea subsp. europaea. The record is from RNAcentral. Lineage: Eukaryota; Viridiplantae; Streptophyta; Magnoliopsida; Lamiales; Oleaceae.
CACAAUUUGACUCAAACUCAAACAAAACAUUUUUAUUAUAAAACAAACACUCUACAUGAUAAGGAUAAGGGCCACAGGUAGUUGAAUCCUUUUUACAACUCUACCACUAACGUCUAUAAAUACUUUACCAAAGCUCAUUGCUAAGGUAGGUCUUUACAUAAAAUUUCAUUUUACAUUCUCUCAUAUAAAUUCUGUUUCUGACUUAAGUAUCGAAGGGGCGACGAGGACACACCUCGUUGCCUUUGUUUCUGGUACUGGAAGGCUCUGUUUGUACCCUUUCUUAGUCCUCAAGCUCGGGAGAUCUACCGGGUACGAUUUUGGUAGCAUCAGUCGUGAAUGUAUGACUUGACCUCCAUUCAAUGAAAGAACCAAAAUAAACUUAACCAGCCCAAUAGGCUAGGAGCUAAAAAGAAAUUGUACUCUACUCUUUCGUCAUGCUCAUUAUCGACAACAUGCUUUAUGUGAGAGAUUUUAUUAGCUCACAAUCACUUUCACUUCUCAAAGUCUGUCAACAUAGGUCAAAAGCCAGUUCGGGUAUUAUCCCAUCCCUUCUCAAACUCUCCUCCACGUACACAACUAAGUGCAGCCCCUGAUAUCAAAGAUCUUUGGCAGUAGACAUACAGGCAGGAAGACAUCUAGAACAGCUAAGUUCAUAUGUAUCCACCCUAGCUGAAUUGGAAAGAAGAUCAACUUUUAUGUUUUAGCGUCGGAGAGUUCACCCUAUGAAACAAGCCAUAAACGUAUGCACACAGUGUUCCUGUUCUUGGCUAUACCAAAUUCAAACAUAAUUCUCUCAUGAAGUACUCAUUAAUUGUGAGAAAAACUAUGGGUACAUGCUCCAUACGAAAACAAGCCCUUGUGGGCUCAAGCUCUUUAAUCUAUAUCUACAUACGGCGAUUUUCUCUGCUUGUUUAGGAAAGAGAAGAAAAGAUUUUCUUAGACGAAGAUAUCCAGAAAGGUUUCUGGAUGGGAUGAUAAAAAGUUCGUA